CUACGGGAGGCAGCAGUUGGGAAUCUUGCACAAUGGGGGAAACCCUGAUGCAGCGACGCCGCGUGGAGGAUGAAGGAUCUAGGUCUGUAAACUCCUUUUGUCAGGAAAGACUUAGGACGGUACCUGACGAAUAAGCACCGGCUAACUACGUGCCAGCAGCCGCGGUAAGACGUAGGGUGCGAGCGUUGUCCGGAUUUACUGGGCGUAAAGGGCGCGUAGGCGGUCUGUUAAGUGUGAAGUGAAAUCUCCAUCGCUCAACGAGGAAAUUGCUUCGCAUACUGGCAGACUGGAGGGAUGCAGAGGUGAAUAGAAUUCCUGGUGUACCGGUGACAUGGAUUGAUAUCAGGAGGAAUACCCAAGGCGAAGGCAGUUCACUGGGCAUCAUCUGACGCUGAGGCGCGACAGCGUGGGGAGCAAACAGGAUUAGAAACCCCGGUAGUCC
Molecule: ribosomal RNA, 442 nt
Filed under: uncultured bacterium
Lineage: Bacteria
Description: bacterial SSU rRNA
Rfam family: Bacterial small subunit ribosomal RNA
Source: RNAcentral